GGUAUAGCUCAGAUGGUAGAGUGCUUGCCUGUCUUUCAUGCACAAGGUCCUGGGUUCAAUCCCCAGCACCA
RNAcentral lists this transfer RNA (71 nucleotides) under Marmota monax (woodchuck). RNAcentral's name for it is "tRNA.Asp". The record is from RNAcentral. Lineage: Eukaryota; Metazoa; Chordata; Mammalia; Rodentia; Sciuridae.